UGUGAGGGGAUCCUCGGUGUUCCAUUGGAGCAGGUCCAGGGGAAUCAGGACUUAUCUGGAGCUGAGGGGGAACUCGGUGUCCUUUUUCCUUUCAGCAGAAUCCGUGGGGUUCCAUUCAAGAUUCAAUAGGUGAGACAGGCCUCCUCUUGUGGUGCGAGGGGAAGUUGGGAGUUUUCUUGAGCUACAGCAGGGAGUGGGCCCUCAUCUCCAGAGGAGGUGAGAAACACAGGGCUCUUCUCUACUUGUGGUGGGAAACUCGGGUUCCAUCUCGAGUUGUGACGGGGUCUCUGGGCCCCCUUGAGUUGCAUGAAGGGAGUCACGCCUC
Molecule: long non-coding RNA, 325 nt
Organism: Bos taurus (domestic cattle)
Lineage: Eukaryota; Metazoa; Chordata; Mammalia; Artiodactyla; Bovidae
Source: Ensembl